RNAcentral lists this ribosomal RNA (452 nucleotides) under uncultured bacterium. RNAcentral's name for it is "partial 16S ribosomal RNA". It matches the Rfam family "Bacterial small subunit ribosomal RNA", at positions 28 to 507 of the family's 1533-position model. The record is from RNAcentral.
GAUGAACGCUGGUGGCGUGCCUAACGCAUGCAAGUCGAGCGAUUCUCUUCGGAGAAGAGCGGCGGACGGGUGAGUAACGCGGGGGUAACCUGCCCUGUACACACGGAUAACAUACCGAAAGGUAUGCUAAUACGAGAUAACAUGCUUUUAUCGCAUGGUAGAAGUAUCAAAGCUUUUGCGGUACAGGAUGGACCCGCGUCUGAUUAGCUAGUUGGUGAGGUAACGGCUCACCAAGGCGACGAUCAGUAGCCGACCUGAGAGGGUGGUCGGCCACAUUGGAACUGAGACACGGUCCAAACUCCUACGGGAGGCAGCAGUGGGGAAUAUUGCACAAUGGGCGAAAGCCUGAUGCAGCAACGCCGCGUGAGCGAUGAAGGCCUUCGGGUCGUAAAGCUCUGUCCUCAAGGAAGAUAAUGACGGUACUUGAGGAGGAAGCCCCGGCUAACUACGUG